GACGAACGCUGGCGGCGUGCUUAACACAUGCAAGUCGAACGGAAAGGCCCUGCUUUUGUGGGGUGCUCGAGUGGCGAACGGGUGAGUAACACGUGAGUAACCUGCCCUUGACUUUGGGAUAACUUCAGGAAACAGGGGCUAAUACCGGAUAGGAGCUCCUGCUGCAUGGUGGGGGUUGGAAAGUUUCGGCGGUUGGGGAUGGACUCGCGGCUUAUCAGCUUGUUGGUGGGGUAGUGGCUUACCAAGGCUUUGACGGGUAGCCGGCCUGAGAGGGUGACCGGCCACAUUGGGACUGAGAUACGGCCCAGACUCCUACGGGAGGCAGCAGUGGGGAAUAUUGCACAACGGGCGGAAGCCUGAUGCAGCAACGCCGCGUGCGUGAUGACGGCCUUCGGGUUGUAAACCGCUUUCGCCUGUGACGAAGCGUGAGUGACGGUAAUGGGUAAAGAAGCACCGGCUAACUACGUG
This 468-nucleotide ribosomal RNA is filed under the name uncultured bacterium. RNAcentral describes it as "partial 16S ribosomal RNA". It matches the Rfam family "Bacterial small subunit ribosomal RNA", at positions 28 to 507 of the family's 1533-position model. The record is from RNAcentral.